Molecule: ribosomal RNA, 377 nt
Filed under: uncultured organism
Description: bacterial SSU rRNA
Rfam family: Bacterial small subunit ribosomal RNA
Source: RNAcentral
ACAGAGGGGGCAAGCGUUGUUCGGAAUUACUGGGCGUAAAGGGCGCGUAGGCGGCCUUCUAAGUCGAACGUGAAAUCCCCGGGCUCAACCCGGGAACUGCGUCCGAUACUGGAAGGCUUGAAUCCGGGAGAGGGAUGCGGAAUUCCAGGUGUAGCGGUGAAAUGCGUAGAUAUCUGGAGGAACACCGGUGGCGAAGGCGGCAUCCUGGACCGGUAUUGACGCUGAGGCGCGAAAAGCCAGGGGGAGCAAACGGGAUUAGAUACCCCCGGUAGUCCUGGCCCUAAACGAUGAAUGCUUGGUGUGGCGGGUAUCGAUCCCUGCCGUGCCGAAGCUAACGCAUUAAGCAUUCCGCCUGGGGAGUACGGUCGCAAAGGCUG